AGAGAAAACUCGGGGCACAAGUCAUAACAAAUAAAAGUGAAACGAAUUUUUUGGAAGUUUAGUGGGGGGACGGGUAAGAAACAGGGGGAAAGGGCCCCUUUAGGGUUCGGAAAUAACUCAGGGAAAACUUGUGCUAAUACCCGAAUGUGCCCCCCCGGAUUCCAUUUUGGGGGUGGGAAAGAAUUUAUCGCCUUUAGAGCGGGCCCGCGUCUGAUUAGCUAGGUUGGUGAGGUAAAGGCUCACCAAGGCGACGAUCAGUAGCUGGUCUGAGAGGAUGAUCAGCCACAUUGGGACUGAGACACGGCCCAAACUCCUACGGGAGGCAGCAGUGGGGAAUCUUGCGCAAUGGGCGAAAGCCUGACGCAGCCAUGCCGCGUGAAUGAUGAAGGUCUUAGGAUUGUAAAAUUCUUUCACCGGGGACGAUAAUGACGGUACCCGGAGAAGAAGCCCGGCUAACUUUGUGCCAGCAGCCGCGGUAAUACGAAGGGGGCUAGCGUUGCUCGGAAUUUCUGGGCGUAAAGGGAGCGUAGGCGGACAUUUAAGUCAGGGGUGAAAUCCCGGGGCUCAACCUCGGAAUUGCCUUUGAUACUGGGUGUCUUGAGUAUGAGAGAGGUGUGUGGGACUCCGAGUGUAGAGGUGAAAUUCGUAGAUAUUCGGAAGAACACCAGUGGCGAAGGCGACACACUGGCUCAUUACUGACGCUGAGGCUCGAAAGCGUGGGGAGCAAACAGG
This 732-nucleotide ribosomal RNA is filed under the name Prevotella nigrescens. RNAcentral describes it as "bacterial SSU rRNA". It matches the Rfam family "Bacterial small subunit ribosomal RNA", at positions 26 to 776 of the family's 1533-position model. The record is from RNAcentral. Lineage: Bacteria; Pseudomonadati; Bacteroidota; Bacteroidia; Bacteroidales; Prevotellaceae.